RNAcentral lists this ribosomal RNA (497 nucleotides) under uncultured bacterium. Its description in RNAcentral is "partial 16S ribosomal RNA". It matches the Rfam family "Bacterial small subunit ribosomal RNA", at positions 28 to 507 of the family's 1533-position model. The record is from RNAcentral.
GAUGAACGCUGGCGGCGUGCCUAAUACAUGCAAGUCGAGCGAACAGACGAGGAGCUUGCUCCUCUGACGUUAGCGGCGGACGGGUGAGUAACACGUGGAUAACCUACCUAUAAGACUGGGAUAACUUCGGGAAACCGGAGCUAAUACCGGAUAAUAUAUUGAACCGCAUGGUUCAAUAGUGAAAGACGGUUUUGCUGUCACUUAUAGAUGGAUCCGCGCCGCAUUAGCUAGUUGGUAAGGUAACGGCUUACCAAGGCAACGAUGCGUAGCCGACCUGAGAGGGUGAUCGCCCACAAGGGAACUGAGACACGGUCCAGACUCCUACGGGAGGCAGCAGUAGGGAAUCUUCCGCAAUGGGCGAAAGCUUGACGGAGCAACGCCGCGUGAGUGAUGAAGGUCUUCGGAUCGUAAAACUCUGUUAUUAGGGAAGAACAAAUGUGUAAGUAACUAUGCACGUCUUGACGGUACCUAAUCAGAAAGCCACGGCUAACUACGUG